AUUGAACGAUGGCGUCAGGACUAACACAUGCAAGUCGAGCGGAGUGGCGGACGGGCGAGUAAUGCCUAGGAGUCUGCCUGGUGGUGGGGGAUAACGUCAGUAAACGGGCGCUCAUACCGCAUACUUUCAUAUGAGCCUAGGUCGGAUGAGCUAGUUGGUGGGGUAAAGGCCUACAACGGCGACGAUCCGUACCUGGUCUGAGAGGAUGAUCAGGCACACUGGAACUGAGACACGGUCCAGACUCCUACGUAAGGCAGCAGUGGGGAAGAUUGGACGAUGGGCGAAAGCCUGAUCCAGCCAUGCCGCGUGUGUGGAGAAGGUCUGCGGAUUGUAAAGCGCUUUAAGGUGGGAGGCGUUACCAACAGAAGAAGCACCGGCUAACUCCGCGCCAGCAGCCGCGGUAAUAC
RNAcentral lists this ribosomal RNA (407 nucleotides) under uncultured bacterium. RNAcentral describes it as "partial 16S ribosomal RNA". It matches the Rfam family "Bacterial small subunit ribosomal RNA", at positions 30 to 526 of the family's 1533-position model. The record is from RNAcentral.